RNAcentral lists this transfer RNA (72 nucleotides) under Marmota marmota marmota (Alpine marmot). It matches the Rfam family "tRNA". Rfam says of the family: Transfer RNA (tRNA) molecules are approximately 80 nucleotides in length. Lineage: Eukaryota; Metazoa; Chordata; Mammalia; Rodentia; Sciuridae. The record is from Rfam by way of RNAcentral. RNAcentral also lists the same sequence under 1 other name.
GGGGAUGUAGCUCAGUGGUAGAGUGAUUGCCUAGCAUGCAUGAAACCCUGGGUUUAAUCCCCAGCACCACCC